This 2423-nucleotide long non-coding RNA is filed under the name Mytilus galloprovincialis (Mediterranean mussel). Lineage: Eukaryota; Metazoa; Mollusca; Bivalvia; Mytilida; Mytilidae. The record is from RNAcentral.
UUUCUAAAUUGAAAGACAUGGUGUUGAUUUGCCUCCUCUCGUUUGCUCAGUUCUUCUACGGUUCUUGUAGUUAGAAAGAUGUCUGGACAUCUGGGGACUACAUGUCGUUGUUGUGGACUGGCUUGGCAGCGAGAGUGGGACUCGCGCCUUCUUACCCUUUUUAAUGAAAUAAAUAAGACAACUCAAUUUGCUGGUUGGAACAAGGAUUGUAAAUGUAAUGUACGGGCAGUAGACUUAUAUUUGCUUUUAUAGUCACUACUCAUUACCCGACAUUCUUGUUCCCCAGACAAGAUUGAGCGUCUUUUGUAAACGAUGGAAUGUGUUGCCAAAACUUAUAUUGCUUCGUAAUAUGCAAAAUGUAUUUAUUUGUUUUUGAAAAGCAUUUGGACUUUUAUUUCUUAAAUUAAAUGAAAUAAUAUUUUUGGAAGAAUUUCAAUUUCCGAUCUCUAUUAUAAUUGAUAAUUAAAGAUUUGUUAAAUUUUAAUUAAUAUCUUGUGUACGUCAAUCUUCGUAUCUAAACUUUUUGAUUGGUUAUUAAUAGCAUUCUUGUGUGCCUAAAUGUAUUACUGAAUAUUCAUGAUGCUGUAGUAUCUACAAAUUCUGUGAAUAUGGUUAUAACCUUGGAUGUAAUAUCAAUUCGACAUACAUCUGUCCGUCGACCUAGCAACCUUCUAAACGCGUGCCAAAUACUUAAUGAGGUUCUUGAUUUGUACUAUUUUUGCUUAUCAUGCAUCUAAGAUAAUGCUUGUUAUUCGCUAUCUUCUUUAUGUGUUUUCUUCUUACUUUAUUUUCCUAUAUCAACGAAUCAUUUGACAUUCAUAUUCUCUUUUUACUUUUAACUGACUUAGUAAAUUAGAAAUAUAUAAUUUUUGUUUUAAAAAGCUCUAUUUUAUUUCAAUUUCUAAUUAUUUCUAAAAGUGUCCUAAAUCCUUUCAUAACAUUACCCCCUUGUUAAGUUUGAAAUCUCCUGAUUUCAUUUUUUGCAAAUUGUUUUGAAUAUAACUUUAAAUUUUGAAUCUUUUUAAUUGUGAUUGAUUUAAUUUUUCCUAUGAAUUGUUUUUGCAAUAAAUGAAACACAAAUACACAUAUACACAAAAAUAAACAAUGCAUGCACAAUAAAGAAAAUAAUAUAACAAUCAAAUAGUGCCGAUCUUCUUCCGUGGAACAAAAGUCCACCUGCGAAAUAUUGGAGAUCUGUCUCUGGAUGUACUCCAACACGCGAAAAUAAUUCAUAUGGAGAUCUGUGUCUUAUGUACUCCAUAUGCAAGUGAAUAAAAUAACAUAUUCUCUCUCUCUUUCUUUGUCAUUUAAAUUAUAGUGAUUCAAAUUUAACCUGAUUGUUAUAGAGUUUUUAUUGAUCAUGUUUUUACUUAUUUUUGUAUUUAUACACGAAGAUUGGACUUGAUUGUAUGAAUUCCACCAGAUUUUUAUAAUUUUUACAAUUUUUUUUUUUUUUUUUUUUUUCUUCUACUUCAUUGAUUUUGUUUUUAUUUUUAUUAUUUUUAAUUCUUUAAUUUUUCUACCCUCCUUUAUGUGUGUUAUAAAUUGUAUUAUAAUCUUUAUCAAAUAAAUGUAGGUUAUUAUUAUUCUGAUUUGUUAUGAAAGUUAAAUUAGUUAUAUAUCUAUAUGACAGAUUGUUCAGAAAUCUCAACCUGUUUCUGAAGGCAAACUGCCAGUUUAGAAAAAUCUUAUCUUGAUUGCUCUCGCGUGCCAAAAAAUAUAUAUAGUGAUGAUUAACUAUCAAAACAUAUGUUUUCAUAACUCUCUGACCAUCUUACAUUACUUUCUUAUUAACAAGGUAUUAACGCAUGUUCAAUUGUCUGACAAAUAUUUACUAUAAUAAUGAUCUCUGUUAUAAAUUUAUUUAGUUUCAUUUUACUCUCUAUUUUUGUUAUGAAUAUAUCUUAUCUUUAAUAUAUUUAUAUAUAUAUAUCCUUGUCGACUUAGUUUUUUAAUAAUAGUCUUUUAUUUGAACAACUACAACAAAAACAAAAAGGAUAUGCUGCAAUCAUGUAAGCAUCAUUUUUAGAGUGAUUUAAUCAUUUAUUUUGCCUACCCGAGUAGACUAGUACCUUUGAGCAAGUGGCCUGGGGCUCUUAUUUUUGCUCUUUAGUUGGGAUUUUGUCUCGUCGACAUUUUCCCUCGAUAAGAAAUAUCUUCCCUCAUUGUUUAUAAUGGGGAACCAAAUAUUUGAAACCUAAUAUUACGAUCAACUGCACUCAUUUUGAUGUUUAAAAAGGACCUCGUUCAAGAUACCUUUUAUUUGAACCAUAUCUCCUUAAGUAAUUGUUCAUGUUCAUGUUUAUUUUUACCUAUGACUUCAUACUUUGCGAAUACUAAAAAUAUCUGUUACUUCAGAUUUUUAUUUUGGUAAAGACUAAGCAAUCGAUUUUUAAGAAUAUAAUGUUAUAAUUUAAUGUCAG